AGAGUUUGAUCCUGGCUCAGGAUGAACGCUGGCGGCGUGCCUAACACAUGCAAGUCGAACGGGCCGCGCCUGAAACCUAGUGAAGGCGCGGCCAGUGGCGGACGGGUGAGUAACGCGUGGGCAACCAGCCGCGCACAGGGGGACAACGGCCGGAAACGGCCGCUAAUACCGCAUAUUCCCGCGGGGCCGCAUGGCCCUGCGGGGAAAGCCCGGGGCGACCCGGACGGUGCGCGAUGGGCCCGCGUCCGAUUAGCUUGUUGGCGGGGCAGCGGCCCACCAAGGCGACGAUCGGUAGCCGGCCUGAGAGGGCGGACGGCCACACUGGGACUGAGACACGGCCCAGACUCCUGCGGGAGGCAGCAGUGGGGAAUAUUGCACAAUGGGGGGAACCCUGAUGCAGCGACGCCGCGUGGGUGAAGGAGCACCUCGGUGCGUAAAGCCCUAUCGGCAGGGAAGAAACAGACGGUACCUGACUAAGAAGCCCCGGCUAACUACGUGCCAGCAGCCGCGGUAAUACGUAGGGGGCAAGCGUUAUCCGGAUUCACUGGGUGUAAAGGGAGCGUAGACGGCGACGCAAGUCUGGAGUGAAAGCCCGGGGCCCAACCCCGGGACUGCUCUGGAAACUGCGGCGCUGGAGUACGGGAGGGGCAGGCGGAAUUUCCUGGUGUAGCGGUGAAA
This 678-nucleotide ribosomal RNA is filed under the name uncultured bacterium. Its description in RNAcentral is "bacterial SSU rRNA". It matches the Rfam family "Bacterial small subunit ribosomal RNA", at positions 8 to 686 of the family's 1533-position model. The record is from RNAcentral.